UACGUAUGGUGCAAGCGUUAUCCGGAUUUACUGGGUGUAAAGGGCGCGUAGGCGGGAUGACAAGUCAGAUGUGAAAACUAUGGGCUUAACCCAUAGCCUGCAUUUGAAACUGCCGUUCUUGAGUGCUGGAGAGGCAAUCGGAAUUCCAUGUGUAGCGGUGAAAUGCGUAGAUAUAUGGAAGAACACCAGUGGCGAAGGCGGAUUGCUGGACAGUAACUGACGCUGAGGCGCGAGAGCGUGGGGAGCAAACAGG
Molecule: ribosomal RNA, 253 nt
Filed under: uncultured bacterium
Lineage: Bacteria
Description: partial 16S ribosomal RNA
Rfam family: Bacterial small subunit ribosomal RNA
Source: RNAcentral